Molecule: long non-coding RNA, 175 nt
Organism: Hyalella azteca
Lineage: Eukaryota; Metazoa; Arthropoda; Malacostraca; Amphipoda; Hyalellidae
Exons: 3
Source: RefSeq, a predicted model, not a curated record
GGCUGUCUCAUCGCUUGUCGUGACUGGACAGUCGGCGUGGACGUUCUACACCGACGUCAACUUCACGGGAUCCAAUGUGUGCGUGUACGCGGAUGAGCACUACGCUAAUGGGAGCAUCCAUCUUGACUUCGCACGUUUCUAUACUAUGGACGAGCUCGGUAUGGCGGACAACUCC